Non-coding RNA from Nothobranchius furzeri (turquoise killifish), 3087 nucleotides. NCBI's taxonomy places the organism in Eukaryota, Metazoa, Chordata, Actinopteri, Cyprinodontiformes, Nothobranchiidae. The record is from RefSeq and is a predicted model, not a curated record.
AGAGUGUUAGUUGCUACUGUGAAGAUACAAAGUGCAAAACAGGAAAGAUCGCGUUCGGUUACAAAGAGCAGGAGGUGGGCUGCAGCCAGUAACUGCAGCUCUCGCUUCGUUACUCUCUUUUUAUUCUUUGCUUUUUAUUCUGUGAGUGUUUUAAUGCCCUUAAGGUAGGUGCAGCUAACGCUAGCUCUCUUUAGCAGCUAACUAUAUCAAGUGAAACACCGGUUCUGCCUCCAGAAAUGCAGAGAAACCUAAAUGCAGCUCUGGAGAGGGAACAGAGAUAUAAACCAAAGAUACCCUUUAUGAUUAUAGGAAAUAUCCGCUUUCUCCCCCAAUAGAAUGGAAGAGCUCCAAGUGCUGACUCAGCUGCUGCAACAGGAUUACUUACAGCCUGAUGAUUUUUACGAGGACGUGGAUGAACAAGCUCAUAGCAGACUCAGAGGUUUGUCUGGAAGGAUUUAAACUCACACGAACUGACAGGAGAGCAGAGCAAUUCGGUAUGCAGGAAAGACAAAAAUAGACCUCCGCUGAGGACACAAGUGAAAUAUAAGGACAGAGGAGUCAAAGGAGAUGAGAGGUUGCUGAAAAGGAGAGAUCACUGGAGUUGCCUGCAGGCUACAAAGAAAUGAACUGAAUAAGGCACGGGGAGAGGAAAACAGGAACACAGGCAGCCACAGAGACUCCAGUUCACAAAACCCUACUGCUUUCAUUUUGGACAUUUUCUCAUUCUAAAUAAGCUUUGUUCCCAAAUAAGUCUUCAAACUAUUUUUUAGCUUAACUGCAAUUACAAACAUCUUAGAUCACAUUUUUAACUCCCUGGGGAGGUGUUUUGGGCAUGCCCUGCUAGUAGGAGGCCCCAGGUCAACCCAGGACACGCUGAAGGGAUUAGAGCUCCACGUUGGCAAGGGAACGCCGUGGUAUCCCAAUGAAGAGCUGGUGGAGUUUGCUGGGUGGUUUGGUCCUCUCUUCUGGGGCUGCUACCCCCACAACCCGGACACUGAUAAGAACAGGAAAACGGACCACUGGAGAUAACAUUUUCUAUCUGCAGUAGACAUCAGUCAGAGUGGUCGUAGUUUCUAGGAAGGAUUUGAGUAUUAAAGCUAGACUGCACUCAGAAAACAUUCUAUAAAAAAGUGAUUUUCUGCCAAAAACUCAAGAAUUAUACAGCUUUUCUUAUCAGGAUUAGUUACCCUGACUGGAUUCAAUUAAACACAAUUACUUAGUUUCACUGUUAAAACACUAAACAUGCUGCACUGGACUGCCAUUGUUCUGAUUACUGUCCAAUGCAGGUAAGACGCCAACUACUCAUAUCUAUCACACAACCCCACAUCAACACACUGCUCCUUAUGCAUUGUAAUCUGAAAGAAUGAAUGAAACACUUGCAUAAUAACAGCAAGGCGCUUCAUUCACCCAUUCACACACACAUUCACAUGCUGGUGGGGAUGAACUACAUUGUAGCCACAGCUGCAGGCGAGGCUUGCUGAACACUGACGCCACCGGCUCCUUCAAGGAGGGUUAAGUGUCUUUUGCAAGGACACAACAGCAGCAUUGUCUGGUCAGAGCCGGGAUCGAACCUGCAACCCCCUGAUCACCGGACGACCCACUCUACCUCCAUAGCUACUGCUGCCAGUUGUAGCGUCAUGAAUGGCCUCUAAUUUGUGACAAAGGUCACAUUUUCCCAGCUGGGUCAAGCUGGGUCGAACUGUAACUUUGCCCCACAGAUUACCCGCCAGGAGCCGUGAUGUCUGCUGAAACACCAUCUUUAUCUGCUGCUGUUCCGUCCCAAGAUGAAGGACACUUCAAGAUUUCACAAUAAUAAUUCUACAUAAUAAUUUUAAUAAACUCUGACUUUAUUACUGUUUAUUACAAUCAUCAAAUAAUCAUCUUAUUUCAGUAUAAAUGUAUUUUAAUUACUGAAAUGACUUAUUAUGCUUUGGGUAAUAAUAAUAAUUAUUAUGAUAAUCAGUAAUGUGUGUUCAGUAAACCAGAAGGUCAUCUUGUAUGGCGCGGUAUAGGGGCAAAAAUUAAGACUACUGCCCAGCAGCAGGAGGCUACAUAAAUUCUGAAGCAAACUACCGACCUGAUUAAUGAUAAGCUGGCGCCGGUAACUGAGAGGAUGGCGCUGCUUACUGAGGAAUAGCACCUUUACCGGCGUUAUUACUAGAUACGCUAGGGACUAGCAGCCCUCGGCUGGUCAUUGACUGGUUCAAACACUCCCUCUGCUGUCUAUUAGCAUGGAUAGGCUAGCGUUAGCCUGGAUGGGCUGGUGUUAGCAUUGGAGAGGCUAGCCAUUAGCCUGCCUAGGCAUGCCACUAGCUGGAUUUCCUACCCCCUUGACAGACCAUUAGCAUGGAUAGACUGGCAUUAGGAUCGGAGAGGCUAGCCAUUAGCAUGACUCGGAGAGUAAUUAGUCAGCUAGUGGCCAGCCUAGGCACGCUAAUGGCUAACCUCUCCGAUGCUAAUGCCAGCCUAUCCAUGCUAAUGGUCCGUUUAAGGGUAAAGUUUAACCACCUCACAUGUCUUUACUUCAUGACAAUGAGCUUUCUGACGCUGAGAGGGCGUGUUCUGAGGUUUUGUUAAAACUAAAUCUCCCACAGCUGAAAGCCAGUUCUUGAACCAAGCAGAUACUCUCGUGGCGACGAGAGUCAUCACAGAGGACGAGGGUCGGCCGCCCGAAGCCUCACUAAGCUAUUCUGUCAUGCUGAUAGAAUUGCUCCGAAUAAACGUCUGUAACCAGCUGACACAAAACUCCUUCAGAGUUAUUGAUUUUGAGACGCAACUAGUUUCAUCAGUUGUGUGACCCACGGAGACAUCUCAGGACCGAUUUGGUCACACUAAGGUCCUUCUACCAACCUCGUGCCCGGAGAACAUCAUCUCCACCUGACAUCUCGGAUCCAGAAGAGGGUCUCCUGGACUGGGUGAGGUAGACAGUUUCGACAGAUGGCGUCUGUAUGCGGUUAUCUCUAAGAACAACUCAGUUAGCUGCAAAACCAACUUCACCACCCAGAACACGCUUCUCUCUCUGAAAGAAACCUUCUGAGAUUUAUUCACGCAUCUAAAACCUCGCAUUUCAUUUUAGUUUCCAUUCAG